RNAcentral lists this ribosomal RNA (253 nucleotides) under uncultured bacterium. RNAcentral describes it as "partial 16S ribosomal RNA". It matches the Rfam family "Bacterial small subunit ribosomal RNA", at positions 524 to 776 of the family's 1533-position model. The record is from RNAcentral.
UACAGAGGGGGCAAGCGUUAUUCGGAAUUAUUGGGCGUAAAGGGCGCGUAGGCGGCCAUUCAAGUGACGGGUGAAAGCCCUCGGCUUAACCGAGGAACUGCCUGUCAGACUGGAUGGCUUGAGACCGGGAGAGGUGAGUGGAGUUCCCAGUGUAGCGGUGAAAUGCGUAGAUAUUGGGAGGAACACCAGUGGCGAAGGCGGCUCACUGGACCGGAACUGACGCUGAGGCGCGAAAGCUAGGGGGGCAGACAGG